UUGCCAGUUGCUACCAGGUAAUGCUGGGCACUCUGGUGAGACUGCCCCGGUUAACGGGGAGGAAGGUGGGGACGACGUCAAGUCAUCAUGGCCCUUACGCCUAGGGCUACACACGUACUACAAUGGCGCAUACAAAGGGCAGCGAUACCGCGAGGUGGAGCCAAUCCCAAAAAGUGCGUCCCAGUCCGGAUUGCAGUCUGCAACUCGACUGCAUGAAGUUGGAAUCGCUAGUAAUUCGAGAUCAGCAUGCUCGGGUGAAUGCGUUCCCGGGCCUU
Molecule: ribosomal RNA, 275 nt
Filed under: uncultured Desulfovibrio sp.
Lineage: Bacteria; Pseudomonadati; Thermodesulfobacteriota; Desulfovibrionia; Desulfovibrionales; Desulfovibrionaceae
Description: partial 16S ribosomal RNA
Rfam family: Bacterial small subunit ribosomal RNA
Source: RNAcentral